Molecule: ribosomal RNA, 497 nt
Filed under: uncultured bacterium
Lineage: Bacteria
Description: partial 16S ribosomal RNA
Rfam family: Bacterial small subunit ribosomal RNA
Source: RNAcentral
GAUGAACGCUGGCGGCGUGCCUAAUACAUGCAAGUCGAGCGAACAGACGAGGAGCUUGCUCCUCUGACGUUAGCGGCGGACGGGUGAGUAACACGUGGAUAACCUACCUAUAAGACUGGGAUAACUUCGGGAAACCGGAGCUAAUACCGGAUAAUAUAUUGAACCGCAUGGUUCAUUAGUGAAAGACGGUUUUGCUGUCACUUAUAGAUGGAUCCGCGCCGCAUUAGCUAGUUGGUAAGGUAACGGCUUACCAAGGCAACGAUGCGUAGCCGACCUGAGAGGGUGAUCAGCCACACUGGAACUGAGACACGGUCCAGACUCCUACGGGAGGCAGCAGUAGGGAAUAUUCCGCAAUGGGCGAAAGCCUGACGGAGCAACGCCGCGUGAGUGAUGAAGGUCUUCGGAUCGUAAAACUCUGUUAUUAGGGAAGAACAAAUGUGUAAGUAACUAUGCACGUCUUGACGGUACCUAAACAGAAAGCCACGGCUAACUACGUG